GCAAUGGACGAAAGUCUGACCGAGCAACGCCGCGUGAGUGAAGAAGGUUUUCGGAUCGUAAAGCUCUGUUGUAAGUCAAGAACGUGUGUGAGAGUGGAAAGUUCACACAGUGACGGUAGCUUACCAGAAAGGGACGGCUAACUACGUGCCAGCAGCCGCGGUAAUACGUAGGUCCCGAGCGUUGUCCGGAUUUAUUGGGCGUAAAGGGAGCGCAGGCGGUCAGGAAAGUCUGGAGUAAAAGGCUAUGGCUCAACCAUAGUGUGCUCUGGAAACUGUCUGACUUGAGUGCAGAAGGGGAGAGUGGAAUUCCAUGUGUAGCGGUGAAAUGCGUAGAUAUAUGGAGGAACACCAGUGGCGAAAGCGGCUCUCUGGUCUGUCACUGACGCUGAGGCUCGAAAGCGUGGGUAGCGAACAGGAUUAGAUACCCUGGUAGUCCACGCCGUAAACGAUGAGUGCUAGGUGUUAGGCCCUUUCCGGGGCUUAGUGCCGGAGCUAACGCAAUAAGCACUCCGCCUGGGGAGUACGACCGCAAGGUUGAAACUCAAAGGAAUUGACGGGGGCCCGCACAAGCGGUGGAGCAUGUGGUUUAAUUCGAAGCAACGCGAAGAACCU
RNAcentral lists this ribosomal RNA (612 nucleotides) under Streptococcus mutans. RNAcentral describes it as "bacterial SSU rRNA". It matches the Rfam family "Bacterial small subunit ribosomal RNA", at positions 368 to 971 of the family's 1533-position model. Lineage: Bacteria; Bacillati; Bacillota; Bacilli; Lactobacillales; Streptococcaceae. The record is from RNAcentral.